RNAcentral lists this ribosomal RNA (429 nucleotides) under Bacillota bacterium. RNAcentral's name for it is "Firmicutes bacterium partial 16S ribosomal RNA". It matches the Rfam family "Bacterial small subunit ribosomal RNA", at positions 355 to 776 of the family's 1533-position model. Lineage: Bacteria; Bacillati; Bacillota. RNAcentral also lists the same sequence under 3 other names. The record is from RNAcentral.
UGGGGAAUUUUGGACAAUGGGGGCAACCCUGAUCCAGCAAUGCCGCGUGUGUGAAGAAGGCCUUCGGGUUGUAAAGCACUUUUGUCCGGAAAGAAAACGCCGUGGUUAAUACCCGUGGCGGAUGACGGUACCGGAAGAAUAAGCACCGGCUAACUACGUGCCAGCAGCCGCGGUAAUACGUAGGGUGCAAGCGUUAAUCGGAAUUACUGGGCGUAAAGCGUGCGCAGGCGGUCCGCUAAGACAGAUGUGAAAUCCCCGGGCUUAACCUGGGAACUGCAUUUGUGACUGGCGGGCUAGAGUAUGGCAGAGGGGGGUAGAAUUCCACGUGUAGCAGUGAAAUGCGUAGAGAUGUGGAGGAAUACCGAUGGCGAAGGCAGCCCCCUGGGCCAAUACUGACGCUCAUGCACGAAAGCGUGGGGAGCAAACAGG